AAGCAAGGAACCCCUGGCACCGGUAAAACAGAAAAAUGGAUGAGAACAACUUAAUAAAUAAUAGUUCAUGAAGGUGGGAGGAGCUUAGAGUCACCGAAGUGCGCAACAGGUUCGCACCAGUAGAGGCUGCGUUUUUCCUGGCGUCCGAGCAGGAAAGUCAGCGGAACAAACUUCCAAGACUGACGGCGAGUCGUCAUGUGGUGGAUGUUGGUGAACUCUGGAAGCUGCCAGAGGAUAUUUGUCAUAAGAGGGAGAGAGUGAGGACCGGGAGAGAAACUAGCUGUUGUACUUGAGCGUGGUUCAUCGCACGUGUUCCUGCUCGCGCCAUUCCCGUGCCGCUGACGCGCCAUCUUGCCAUUUGCCUCCUUCACCCCCAUCGCCAUCUGACUGUGAGGGUUCGUGAGUACACUUACAUUGUGCACCUUUUUGUUUCUACUGGUUAACGCCAGUGAAGCGGCCAUUUGUUUCCGGCCUCACGAGCAUCGACUGGACCUGAAACGGUUUUAUUUAGGUUAAGAUAAAAAGCCCGGUGUGAAUGUGUGUGUGGGCUGGUGGACAUUGAGUUUGCUGGUCGUUGUGACGAGAUUCUAUUUGGGUUCAUCCGAGAUCAUUUGGGAGUUAAAGGUACCAGAGGAUUAUUUGAGAGUUUUGAAUAGUAUAAGGUCAACAGUGAACAAGUUACAAUUUUAUGAAUGUAAUAAAUUUUCCUUUUGAACUUAA
Mugil cephalus (flathead mullet) is the source of this 720-nucleotide long non-coding RNA. RefSeq lists it as uncharacterized. The transcript is spliced from 3 exons. The record is from RefSeq and is a predicted model, not a curated record. NCBI's taxonomy places the organism in Eukaryota, Metazoa, Chordata, Actinopteri, Mugiliformes, Mugilidae.